Molecule: microRNA, 23 nt
Filed under: Ornithorhynchus anatinus (platypus)
Lineage: Eukaryota; Metazoa; Chordata; Mammalia; Monotremata; Ornithorhynchidae
Description: Oan-Novel-6_5p* (star (passenger))
Source: RNAcentral
UCCGUGCAGAGCACUAUACUAAG